UGGCUGCUGUGUUCAGUGUUAAAUGACUUUUUUUUAACCGUAUUAAUGUUUUACAGCACAUUACAGAGCACAAAAAUAAAAUAAAUGUUAUUUUUAUAUGUGGUUUAGGAAAGAAAACUCAAAUUAACUUUUUUCUGAAUUCAUUUUUCAAACCGAAAUUUUAACUUAAAGCGGUUCAGGUCAGGACGAACCUUCACGAAAAUUAGAGUUACUAUGACUGACAAAGUUGUUUUUAUAUUUCUUAAAAGGAUAUUCAUGCACAUAUUCAUAUCAGCGUGCACGACAGUGCAAUGAAGGAAUGUAUAUUUUAGACAUUUCAUUUUCAUUUACAUGAAGUCAGGACCUCAAUCUCCAAAUCGUUCACGUCAGAAAAACACCCAGCUUGAAAAAAACCUCAGACUUUUCCUUUCGAGGCUUCAGAUGAACUUCAGUCCAAGAAUAUGAUGGUGUGUAACUGGGCCUGGACGUUGGGCUCAACUGAGAAUAAAGUUUGAGGUUCCCAGUGCAGAGAACAGAUUUUCUUCAGACCUGCCUGCGUGUUUUUUCUGUUGGCACCAGGUGAAGCUUUAGUUCCGUGAGUCCCAACUGUUUCAAAUAAAACUUUGACAGACGUCACAACGGCCUGCGGCGGUGACGUCGCGUGGUCUAUGAUCAAUACCAACUGGUCUGAUCUGAAAAGAGAAAGCGCUUCAUCAAUAACUCCUCGGGACCUUUCAGUGGGUCGUCGCCGGCCGGUCGGUCGGCGUGGAUCUGGAGGAUCCGCUUCACAAACACAGAUGAAAGAGAAAAACCCUGAGCAAGGUGAGCUCACAAGGGCACACGCUGAAGUCAUCAGUGUUGACGCGGGUGGCGAGAGGGGCCACGGUGUGAGCGACACCGCGGCCACCGUGGCCAGCCAGGCGUGCCCACCCCACCCGGCAUCACCCCCCCAGCAGCUUCCCCUCCGCCCCAACAACCCAGGCGGGAGCCAGCGCUUCCUCCCGCCCGUGCUUCCCACUCCGGGCCCCGGGCCAUCACCUUGUGAAGCACAAUCAGCGUUCAUGUCCCCCCCCCCGGCCCCCGGAGGCCUCAUCAGCAGGUCAGGUGGCUCUCGUGUGCACAGGCAUGAAGCAACACACGCAGAGGAGGCAGGUUUUAAAUCCUGGUCGCCUGAAACAUCUCAAAUUUCAUCCUCUGAAUCGAAGGAUCCAAACCUCUGCUGCCGCCGCUGCUGCCUGUAUACAGUAAUGCGUGUAAAGUCAGUCUGGCCGAGGUUAUGAAUAGUGAAUUAUAAUAUCGCUCAUAGCUGUAGACACGACAAGUGGAGCUGCUCGUGCAACUGGACACGGACGUGAAACUUUCGACGGUUGUAAAAUAAUGCAGUAAAAACGACCUUCGUCUGUGGGCUGACAGAUCCGGACGACGUGACAGACGAGGAUGUCGGCGGAUGUUUUAGUUUUUUUAACACGUCUUCAUUAGCGCUCGAAUAUAAAAAAGAGGUGGUGAUUAAAGAAUGUAAUAACUGAGAUCUGAAAA
Molecule: long non-coding RNA, 1515 nt
Organism: Scophthalmus maximus (turbot)
Lineage: Eukaryota; Metazoa; Chordata; Actinopteri; Pleuronectiformes; Scophthalmidae
Exons: 2
Source: RefSeq, a predicted model, not a curated record